GGUUAAGCGACUAAGCGUACACGGUGGAUGCCCUGGCAGUCAGAGGCGAUGAAGGACGUGCUAAUCUGCGAUAAGCGUCGGUGAGGUGAUAUGAACCGUUAUAACCGGCGAUUUCCGAAUGGGGAAACCCAGUGUGUUUCGACACACUAUCAUUAACUGAAUCCAUAGGUUAAUGAGGCGAACCGGGGGAACUGAAACAUCUAAGUACCCCGAGGAAAAGAAAUCAACCGAGAUUCCCCCAGUAGCGGCGAGCGAACGGGGAGGAGCCCAGAGCCUGAAUCAGUGUGUGUGUUAGUGGAAGCGUCUGGAAAGGCGUGCGAUACAGGGUGACAGCCCCGUACACAAAAAUGCACAUAUUGUGAGCUCGAUGAGUAGGGCGGGACACGUGGUAUCCUGUCUGAAUAUGGGGGGACCAUCCUCCAAGGCUAAAUACUCCUGACUGACCGAUAGUGAACCAGUACCGUGAGGGAAAGGCGAAAAGAACCCCGGCGAGGGGAGUGAAAAAGAACCUGAAACCGUGUACGUACAAGCAGUGGGAGCCUCUUAAUGGGGUGACUGCGUACCUUUUGUAUAAUGGGUCAGCGACUUAUAUUCUGUAGCAAGGUUAACCGAAUAGGGGAGCCGAAGGGAAACCGAGUCUUAACUGGGCGUUAAGUUGCAGGGUAUAGACCCGAAACCCGGUGAUCUAGCCAUGGGCAGGUUGAAGGUUGGGUAACACUAACUGGAGGACCGAACCGACUAAUGUUGAAAAAUUAGCGGAUGACUUGUGGCUGGGGGUGAAAGGCCAAUCAAACCGGGAGAUAGCUGGUUCUCCCCGAAAGCUAUUUAGGUAGCGCCUCGUGAAUUCAUCUCCGGGGGUAGAGCACUGUUUCGGCAAGGGGGUCAUCCCGACUUACCAACCCGAUGCAAACUGCGAAUACCGGAGAAUGUUAUCACGGGAGACACACGGCGGGUGCUAACGUCCGUCGUGAAGAGGGAAACAACCCAGACCGCCAGCUAAGGUCCCAAAGUCAUGGUUAAGUGGGAAACGAUGUGGGAAGGCCCAGACAGCCAGGAUGUUGGCUUAGAAGCAGCCAUCAUUUAAAGAAAGCGUAAUAGCUCACUGGUCGAGUCGGCCUGCGCGGAAGAUGUAACGGGGCUAAACCAUGCACCGAAGCUGCGGCAGCGACACUAUGUGUUGUUGGGUAGGGGAGCGUUCUGUAAGCCUGUGAAGGUGGCCUGUGAGGGUUGCUGGAGGUAUCAGAAGUGCGAAUGCUGACAUAAGUAACGAUAAAGCGGGUGAAAAGCCCGCUCGCCGGAAGACCAAGGGUUCCUGUCCAACGUUAAUCGGGGCAGGGUGAGUCGACCCCUAAGGCGAGGCCGAAAGGCGUAGUCGAUGGGAAACAGGUUAAUAUUCCUGUACUUGGUGUUACUGCGAAGGGGGGACGGAGAAGGCUAUGUUGGCCGGGCGACGGUUGUCCCGGUUUAAGCGUGUAGGCUGGUUUUCCAGGCAAAUCCGGAAAACCAAGGCUGAGGCGUGAUGACGAGGCACUACGGUGCUGAAGCGACAAAUGCCCUGCUUCCAGGAAAAGCCUCUAAGCAUCAGGUAACAUCAAAUCGUACCCCAAACCGACACAGGUGGUCAGGUAGAGAAUACCAAGGCGCUUGAGAGAACUCG
Molecule: ribosomal RNA, 1657 nt
Filed under: Escherichia coli
Lineage: Bacteria; Pseudomonadati; Pseudomonadota; Gammaproteobacteria; Enterobacterales; Enterobacteriaceae
Description: partial 23S ribosomal RNA
Rfam family: Bacterial large subunit ribosomal RNA
Source: RNAcentral